AGCAUAUCAAUAAGCGGAGGAAAAGAAACCAACAGGGAUUGCCCCAGUAACGGCGAGUGAAGCGGCAACAGCUCAAAUUUGAAAUCUGGCCCUCGGGUCCGAGUUGUAAUUUGUAGAGGAUGCUUUUGGCGAGGUGCCUUCCGAGUUCCCUGGAACGGGACGCCAUAGAGGGUGAGAGCCCCGUCUGGUCGGACACCGAGCCUCUGUAAAGCUCCUUCGACGAGUCGAGUAGUUUGGGAAUGCUGCUCAAAAUGGGAGGUAUAUGUCUUCUAAAGCUAAAUAUUGGCCAGAGACCGAUAGCGCACAAGUAGAGUGAUCGAAAGAUGAAAAGCACUUUGAAAAGAGGGUUAAAAAGUACGUGAAAUUGUUGAAAGGGAAGCGCUUAUGACCAGACUUGCGCCCGGUGAAUCAUCCAGCGUUCUCGCUGGUGCACUUUGCCGGGCACAGGCCAGCAUCAGUUUGGCGCGGGGGAAAAAGGCUUCGGGAAUGUGGCUCCCUCGGGAGUGUUAUAGCCCGCUGCGUAAUACCCUGCGCCGGACUGAGGUACGCGCAUUGCAAGGAUGCUGGCGUAAUGGUCAUCAGCGACCCGUCUUGAAACACGGACCAAGGAGUCGUCUUCGUAUGCGAGUGUUCGGGUGUCAAACCCCUACGCGUAAUGAAAGUGAACGCAGGUGAGAGCUUCGGCGCAUCAUCGACCGAUCCUGAUGUUCUCGGAUGGAUUUGAGUAAGAGCAUACGGGGCCGGACCCGAAAGAAGGUGAACUAUGCCUGUAUAGGGUGAAGCCAGAGGAAACUCUGGUGGAGGCUCGCAGCGGUUCUGACGUGCGAAUCGAUCGUCAAAUAUGGGCAUGGGGGCGAAAGACUAAUCGA
This 869-nucleotide ribosomal RNA is filed under the name Beauveria pseudobassiana. RNAcentral's name for it is "partial large subunit ribosomal RNA". It matches the Rfam family "Eukaryotic large subunit ribosomal RNA", at positions 37 to 938 of the family's 3401-position model. The record is from RNAcentral. Lineage: Eukaryota; Fungi; Ascomycota; Sordariomycetes; Hypocreales; Cordycipitaceae.